GUCUUCCUGUAACGCUUCCGAAUAAGAGGUCCGGUCGAAAAGAGUUGAAAGAUACGAAAUUAGGUGGUCGUUGGAAUCCUGAUCGCAGUAAAGUGGUCCUUGGUAACUGCUCGAGUAGAACAUGUCUGCAUCCGCCAAUAGUCCGCUAAUAGGGAGGGCUGUGCGAUUAAAGGCUUCCAUCGAUUGGGUAGUGUCCUUCAAGUGGGUGGCGAAGAGCCAGUCGGGCAUAUGUCAUGAAGGUUUCUCCGACCGAUUAAUGGUUUGCUGCUUGACUAGCCUAGGGAAAUAAUAAUAAAGGAUCUCAAAGAUUUCAUGAGACAAGCUGGGGAAGUAACGUUUGCGGAUGCACACCGACCUAAAUUAAAUGAAGGGGUGGUUGAGUUUGCCUCUUAUGGUGACUUAAAGAAUGCUAUUGAAAAACUUUCUGGAAAGGAAAUAAAUGGGAGAAAAAUAAAAUUAAUUGAAGGCAGCAAAAGGCACAGUAGGUCAAGAAGCAGGUCUCGAUCCCGGACCAGAAGUUCCUCUAGGUCUCGUAGCCGAUCCCGU
This 546-nucleotide small RNA is filed under the name Pan troglodytes (chimpanzee). RNAcentral describes it as "retained intron". The record is from RNAcentral. Lineage: Eukaryota; Metazoa; Chordata; Mammalia; Primates; Hominidae.